GCCUUCCUGGUGUAAUGGUCAAGCACAUAGUAUUUGAAAGGUCCGUGGUUCGAGUCCCGGCGAAGGCA
RNAcentral lists this transfer RNA (68 nucleotides) under Stegodyphus mimosarum. It matches the Rfam family "tRNA". Rfam says of the family: Transfer RNA (tRNA) molecules are approximately 80 nucleotides in length. Their secondary structure includes four short double-helical elements and three loops (D, anti-codon, and T loops). Further hydrogen bonds mediate the characteristic L-shaped molecular structure. tRNAs have two regions of fundamental functional importance: the anti-codon, which is responsible for specific mRNA codon recognition, and the 3' end, to which the tRNAs corresponding amino acid is attached (by aminoacyl-tRNA synthetases). tRNAs cope with the degeneracy of the genetic code in two manners: having more than one tRNA (with a specific anti-codon) for a particular amino acid; and 'wobble' base-pairing, i.e. permitting non-standard base-pairing at the 3rd anti-codon position. The record is from Rfam by way of RNAcentral. Lineage: Eukaryota; Metazoa; Arthropoda; Arachnida; Araneae; Eresidae.